This is a long non-coding RNA of Brassica rapa (field mustard), 3105 nucleotides long. RefSeq lists it as uncharacterized. NCBI's taxonomy places the organism in Eukaryota, Viridiplantae, Streptophyta, Magnoliopsida, Brassicales, Brassicaceae. The record is from RefSeq and is a predicted model, not a curated record.
UCUUAUGUGAGAUGACUAUUUAGUUGAGGUUAAAGAUCUGAAAUAAUCUGUAUAAGUGAUACAGUGCAUUGUAGGACAAUUUAGAUAUAUAAAGUCAUAUUAGUUUAAGUGUUAUAGUUACGGAAAGAUACAUGCUAAAGAUCAAUAUCUAAAGAUUAUACGUUUAGUCUUUUAACUUUGGAGCGUCUUUUAACUUUGGAGUAUUCAAACCCUUUUGAGCAUGUUAAGCUCCGUUUACAACAUUGAAAAUAUUGACCAUGCACUUUGAUUCUAGGAGUACAUAAAAGAAAAACUGAGUUAGUAUUAAAAGUAAUAAAAACACCAAACAAUUUAUAAAGAGACUUUAUUGAAUCAUUUAGCAUACGAAACAAUAUAUUCCUUAGUUACAAUACCUAUAAGAACCUUCCCAUAGAAAUCGAAAUAGUUUGAAGGGUUAACAUGUUCUUUCUCAGCAACCUUGACACAUUGUUAUAUUGACUCAUCAUCAAAACACAAAACACAUAAAAAAGUGAGUGAAUUCAAUCAAAAUCAUACCAAGUGUUUGGCCUCUAUGGCCGGAACCUUAGCCUUUAUGUAUCUCAUGCCAUGCGUUUGUUGUAAUGGUUUUCGAUAUACUUCUUAGUUGCAGCAUAUUUCUCCAUUGUUGAAUUCAAAAUCAACUCUUCAUCCUCUACAGCCUCUGACGUUGGAGAUGGCAUAAUAUUUGCUACCACCUGCUCUCCGUGAUCCGUUUCACAAUUCUACUUUUUUUUGUCUCCUAAAAACAUUAAAAAAUGUUGCUAUUUAUUUUCCAUUGGAUUUAUUUUUGUUGCAGCCAUCGACGGAACGCCAAGAUAUCAUCUCUACUUUCUUAGUCUUUCCUUUUCGCAGGUGGUUUAAAUUUGCUGAUGAAUUUGUAAUUUCGGCUUACUCAUGGUAUUUAUUUUAGGUCAAACUUUAAACUUUGUAAUUUUUAUGUUUUUUUAAAUUAUUAGAUUUUAUGAUUUGUUCAAAUAAAUGACUUUUAUAUGUACAACAUGUUAAAACAGAUUUUUAGUAUAACUUGAAAUUAAAUAAUAUUUAUUUACCAAAAUAUAAUAAAUUAGCCUUGAAAAUAUGUACAUGUAAAUAUAAUACUACUCCCAAAUUUAGUAAUACUAUUAGUUUUAAUAAAUUAUGUUCCUUUGCUUAUGAUAUAUAGUAGGGGUGCGCAUUUUACCUGAUACUUGAACCCGUAUCCGAACCCGACCCGAAAAACCCUAACCGAAAUCCGAACCGAUAUAGCUAAAUGCCUGAAUGGGUAUUAAUUAAGGAGAGAUUGGAUAUCCGAACUCGAACGGAUAAUAUCCAAACCCGAAUGGAUAUCUGAAAAUAACCGAACAUAUGUAUACUUGCCCUUAUAUUUCUUGUUUACAUCUUUCGUUUUAUUUAAAAUAUUUAUAUUAAUGUUACACAUACUUUAAGAUCAUAUAAUUACAAAAAAAAAUUAUUUGUCACUCAGUUAAAUCCAUAUCAAGUUAUUUGUUUCAUGUAUUAACAAAAGUUACCUUUAAAAUUUUAAAACAAUAGCCAAAUUAAUGUUUAUUUAUUUUUGAAAUGAUUUCCAAAUUUAUCAAUCAUUCAAUCCAUUAAAAAAUUAAAAAAUCAUUUAACUGAAAUCUCUGUAUUUUUAAAUAGAAUAAACCUAAAAAUGAAUUUUUUUUUUUUUCAAAAUCUCAAUAUCCGAACCGAAUCCAAAAUAACUGAAUCCGAACUAAAAUACCUGAACACGAUCUUAAGUAUAGAAAUACCAGAACAGGUUUAAUACUCGUAUACAGAAAUAUCCGACCCAAACCCGAACGGUUAUCCGACAAAUAAUCUUUUGCAUUUUUUUAUGUACACUUACUGUUUAAAAGUAAAAACAUUUAUAUUUAUUUCAAACUUAUUAAUAUCAUUAAAUUAUGAAACUAAUAUGAAAAUUAUUUGACAUAUAUAUGGAUGAUGAUGAUUUAUUAACGAAGGAGAAAAAGACGGUCUCCAUGUUUUAAUUUCAUUCUCGACUUUCCAUGUGGGGAAGAAACUUUAUAAUUUUAUACAAAAAUCUCUCCUCAGACCCAAAAUGCUAAUCUCUUUUGGCUUCUUCUUCAGUCUUCCCAGAUUCUCUGUAGAAGAGGAUCUAUGAAUCCAUCUCCUCCCCCUAUCUAAGCUCUUCUUCUUCUUCUUUUCCAUCGGUUACUCUGUUUCAGAAGAUUUUUUUGACUGAAGGCAUUCACUCUGUUUCAGAAGCUUCCAGAAGCAUCAAUGGCCGAGAGUUUAUCUGUUUAUACGAAAAGGACAGUGCAGAAAUUGUAGUAAAAAAACCAAAGCGAUCACAUCUAUUCUUAAAGAUGAUAGUUUUGGUGUUUGCAAUGGUCUGUUCUCUACAUUUGCUCCGUCUGCUUAAACCAGUUUACUGUCCAAACCUCACAACUUGUUCAAACUCGUAUCACUACUCGGAUUCAUUACCCAAAGCUAGAGACUUUCAAUAGGUAAGUAACUCUUCUUGUUUCUUUGUUAUGUUUGUUUAUUCACUUCUAACUUUGAAACUGAUCUGAAUGUGGGCACAAUCCGGUGAGGUUCUUUGCGAUACUAUCAAUACAGAGAUAAGGAAGCGGUUGGUUUGAUAUCCCUCCACCGAUUCGUUACCCCGUGCUUGAAAAUAUGACGACCACAAAUCAGUUAAAUGGAGAAGCUCCACUGCUUGUGUAGGUGGAAGCUCAAGCAACAACCGGAAACCUCGGUGUUAUCGGGAGUUAGCAUCGUUAUUUGCCGAAAUUGCCGCCGCGGAGAUGAAACGAUUCAAGAGAAACCCACGAAUAGAUCUAAGCAAAGCAUUGAUGACGAAUCGUGGAGGAGAGUCAAUAGGAUUUAACACGAAGCCAUUAAUCAAACCGUUGCAGGUCGGGAGAAGAAUCGAAAAAGUCACCCUAGCCGUCGCACGAAGAGGAGCGAUGAAUUUUGUUUUCUCGCUGCAGUCGUAUUAGGGAUAGACGGAGCUUAUUAUCGUUGGGCCGGAAACACUUCUAAUCUCAAAGCCCAUGAACACACUAAAGAACAAAACCGAGAAUGCUGAAGUUUAAUGAAAUGAUGCGGUUUGUCUUAUGGACA